GACGAACGCUGGCGGCGUGCUUAACACAUGCAAGUCGAACGGAAAGGCCCUGCUUUUGUGGGGUGCUCGAGUGGCGAACGGGGGAGUAACACGUGAGUAACCUGCCCUUGACUUUGGGGUAACUUCAGGAAACUGGGGCUAAUACAGGAUAGGAGCUCUUGCUGCAUGUGGGGGGUUGGAAAGUUUCGGCGGUUGGGGAUGGACUCGCGGCUUAUGAGCUUGUUGGUGGGGUAGUGGCUGACCAAGGCUUUGACGGGUAGCCGGCCUGAGAGGGUGACCGGCCACAUUGGGACUGCGAUACGGCGCAGACUCCUACGUGACGCAGCAGUGGGGAAUAUUGCACAAUGGGCGGAAGCCAGAUGCAGCAACGCCGCGUGCGGGAUGACGGCCUUCGGGUUGUAAACCGCUUUCGCCUUUGACGAAGCGUUAGUGACGGUAAUGGGUAAAGAAGCACCGGCUAACUACGUG
Molecule: ribosomal RNA, 468 nt
Filed under: uncultured bacterium
Lineage: Bacteria
Description: partial 16S ribosomal RNA
Rfam family: Bacterial small subunit ribosomal RNA
Source: RNAcentral